This 300-nucleotide ribosomal RNA is filed under the name uncultured Methylocystaceae bacterium. RNAcentral's name for it is "bacterial SSU rRNA". It matches the Rfam family "Bacterial small subunit ribosomal RNA", at positions 115 to 431 of the family's 1533-position model. The record is from RNAcentral. Lineage: Bacteria; Pseudomonadati; Pseudomonadota; Alphaproteobacteria; Hyphomicrobiales; Methylocystaceae.
GCGUGGGAACAUACCCUCCGGUUCGGAAUAGCUCAGGGAACUUGGAUUAAUACCGGAUACGGCCGAGAGGCGAAAGAUUUAUCGCCGGAGGGAUUGGCCCGCGUUUCGAUUAGCUAGUUGGUGAGGUAAUGGCCCACCAAGGCUAUGAUCGAUAGCUGGUCUGAGAGGAUGAUCAGCCACAUUGGGACUGAGACACGGCCCAAACUCCUACGGGAGGCAGCAGUGGGGAAUAUUGGACAAUGGGCGCAAGCCUGAUCCAGCCAUGCCGCGUGAGUGAUGACGGCCUUAGGGUUGUAAAGC